Molecule: ribosomal RNA, 537 nt
Filed under: uncultured bacterium
Lineage: Bacteria
Description: bacterial SSU rRNA
Rfam family: Bacterial small subunit ribosomal RNA
Source: RNAcentral
AGUUUGAUCAUGGCUCAGGACGAACGCUGGCGGCGCGCUUAACACAUGCAAGUCGAGCGAUAACCAUGGCUUCGGCUAUGGGGAGAGCGGCGAACGGGUGAGUAACACGUGAGUAAUCUGCCCUCGACACUGGGAUAGCCCGGGGAAACCCGGAUUAAUACCGGAUAGCCUCUCGAGCUCUCGGGCUCGUGAGAAAAGAUGGCUUCGGCUUUCGGUUGAGGAGGAGCUUGCGGCGGAUUAGCUUGUUGGUGAGGUAACGGCCCACCAAGGCGACGAUCCGUAGCUGGUCUGAGAGGACGAUCAGCCACACUGGGACUGAGACACGGCCCAGACUCCUACGGGAGGCAGCAGUGGGGAAUCUUGCGCAAUGGGCGAAAGACUGACGCAGCGACGCCGCGUGAGGGAAGAAGGCCUUCGGGUUGUAAACCUCUUUCAGGAGGGACGAAGCUACUCGGGUUAAUAGCCCAGAGGGUGACGGUACCUCCAGAAGAAGCCCCGGCUAACUACGUGCCAGCAGCCGCGGUAAUACGUAGGGGG